ACAAUGGGCGAGAGCCUGAUCCAGCCAUGCCGCGUGCAGGAAGACUGCCCUAUGGGUUGUAAACUGCUUUUAUACAGGAAGAAUAAGCCUUACGUGUAAGGUGAUGACGGUACUGUAAGAAUAAGGACCGGCUAACUCCGUGCCAGCAGCCGCGGUAAUACGGAGGGUCCGAGCGUUAUCCGGAAUUAUUGGGUUUAAAGGGUCCGUAAGCGGAUGAUUAAGUCAGGGGUGAAAGGUUGCAGCUUAACUGUUAAAAUGCCCUUGAUACUGGGCAUCUUGAGUUGUAUUGAAGUAGGCCGAAUAUGUAGUGUAACGGUGAAAUGCAUUGAUAUUACAUAGAACACCCAUUGCGAAGGCCGCUUACUUAGUACUAACUGACGCUUAUGGACGAAGCGUGGGUACCAACAGGAUUAGAUACCCUGGUAGUCCACGCCCUAAACGAUGGUUACUAAGUGGUGGAAUACUUAGGUUUAACCUAUUAACUCAAUGGGAUAAGUAUCCCACCAUGGGAGUACGGUCGCAAGACUGAAACUCAAAGGAAUUGACGGGGGCCCGCACAAGCGGU
This 565-nucleotide ribosomal RNA is filed under the name uncultured bacterium. RNAcentral describes it as "bacterial SSU rRNA". It matches the Rfam family "Bacterial small subunit ribosomal RNA", at positions 368 to 933 of the family's 1533-position model. The record is from RNAcentral.